AUCCUUUGACCUGGGAAGUCACAAAUCGAGAGGCUUAUCCAUCUCACUCAGGUUGUGCUGACCCCUGAGAUUUCCCCAAAUGCGGGAAACUCGACUGAAUAAUUUGUGGUAGUGGGGGACUGCGUUCAUGCUCUCCCCUA
Small nuclear RNA from Rattus norvegicus (Norway rat), 140 nucleotides. Ensembl annotates it as U1 spliceosomal RNA. The record is from Ensembl. Lineage: Eukaryota; Metazoa; Chordata; Mammalia; Rodentia; Muridae.